ACUGGAAUAUAGAGUUCUGCCUUGACUAGACUUGGAUUUUAUGAUUCUUUCCAUUUUUAAUAGCUUUGUGUUUCUACAUAACAAAUGGCCUUACUAAUGAGAUCGAAAGUUUUUUUCUGCUGAAGUGUUCCCACAGACAACUGCCUAUUAGUGUUUUCCCCUGCGCACUUGGAGAGUGUAGGAUAGCAGAGCUAGAGAGCACAGGUCUCCUCGAGGCCUGGAAGGCUUUCCCUCAGUAAGCCUGUGACUGUGAGAGGUCAGUGUUCUGGGCUGGGCCAAUCUUUGUCCACUCCUGUCUUAGACUUAAAGCU
This 311-nucleotide long non-coding RNA is filed under the name Bos taurus (domestic cattle). Its description in RNAcentral is "long non-coding RNA NONBTAT026908". The record is from RNAcentral. Lineage: Eukaryota; Metazoa; Chordata; Mammalia; Artiodactyla; Bovidae.